ACUAAAAUAGCAAAAAUAAUGCAUAGGAUUUAGGUUCCUAAGAUGAAAGAAUAUUUCUUUUAGUA
This 65-nucleotide transfer RNA is filed under the name Upogebia pusilla (Mediterranean mud shrimp). Its description in RNAcentral is "tRNA-Leu". It matches the Rfam family "tRNA". Rfam says of the family: Transfer RNA (tRNA) molecules are approximately 80 nucleotides in length. Their secondary structure includes four short double-helical elements and three loops (D, anti-codon, and T loops). Lineage: Eukaryota; Metazoa; Arthropoda; Malacostraca; Decapoda; Upogebiidae. The record is from RNAcentral.